Non-coding RNA from Sus scrofa (pig), 2954 nucleotides. Lineage: Eukaryota; Metazoa; Chordata; Mammalia; Artiodactyla; Suidae. The record is from RefSeq and is a predicted model, not a curated record.
GAGAGGGAGGAGCAUGGUAGCAGGUGAUAUCUUUAGAGGCAAUUAUGCCCAGUUGCUGCUGAUUUUGAUGAUGAUGUGGUGGUGAGGUAGGUGGAGCUACCGAGGGUUUUGAGUGAGGGGAAACUGCAGUUGGGCAGAUGUACCUGCUUCCUCUAGCCCUGUGCAACUCUAGCUUCUCCUGCCUCUCAUUUGCAGGGCCAGCUCAGUAGCGUUCAGUCGCUGAUCUGCUGCUGACAUGGGCAGAGGCACCUCGGUGACUUCACAUCCAGCACCUGGCAGGUCUCGGUAGAACAAGAGCCAGCGAUGGCCCACUAACGUUCCACCCGUCGUCGAUGCGGCUCCGCUCACCUUCCGGGCCGUAAAGGCCUUUGUCCGUCGUUUACCGGAGGAGGUGAGGUCUCGUCCAACCGGGACAGAGCGGCCAGCACAGGUCCCAAACCCGCACAGCUCCAAGGCCCAAGGGUGGCAGCCUUCUCGGGCCGUCGAGGCCCUAACGGCUCUCCGUGGCGUUCAAGUGGCUGCCAUUCUUCUCGCCCUGCCACGCUGGACUCGCAAAGGCGAUGUGGCAGAGGCUUCGCCUAAGCCCUGCAGCGCUGGGCCGAGAGACCCGGCCAUCGGCUGGGCCCGGGCUUGUGGGGUCCGCCGCCGUUUGGUCGCGGAGGUGGGGGCGGCGGAGAGGUUCGCUGCUACUCCAAGGCCUGGGCCAUGGACGGCCGUGAGGACUCUGGGGCUCUGCAGGGCACAGGUCAGGCCUGUCCCAGAGCCCCCCUAGUUCACCGCCUCCCGAGGCCAGAGGGCCCCGAGGGCCCCGGGACAGAGGGCCGCGAUCCACUUCUCACCGCGCUCUCCGCCGGAACUCACCGCUUCUUGGGAGUACUACACACUUUGAUGCCUGUUGGAGAUGAGAACCAAGAGGCUCCUAGAGGAACUGCAGAAACCGUGGCCGUGGAAGGAGGUAAAUGGCACUUGGAGAUGCAGAAAAACAAGGUUUAUUCGGCACCAGUGCCGGCUCAGAGGAGUCACCCCCAGAGUCUGAGCACCGGGUCUUUGUUCUCAGCACCUUUUAUACAAUAUCGGGUCUUGUUUCUCCCAUGCAAGCAAUCCUGAACCUCCUCCUUCCUGGAGCAGACUGACAAUGUUCCUGCCGAAGAAACUGAGCAAGCAAGGUUAUAGAAGCGAAACUGAGAAGCAAUGCUUGGAGCACCAUUAGCAGGGCUGCUGGCUUGAACAUAGGGCACGUAGUUGCUACAUAAUUAUGAGGAGGAUGGACUGAGGCUGAGCAGAACUGAAAAGGCAUGGAAAUGCUUUUUCAGGCAAGGCGGGGGUUAAGUCUCUUAGUUAAAUCUCCCAGUUCACUUCCUUGUGGGGUUCUCCCAUAAGCUUUCCUUACAUACUCUUUACAAUGCCUUUAGCCUGCUGUGAAGCAGCCUUGGUAUCUUUGCCACUUAGAGAUGUUUUCCACUUGUUUGUAUGUAGUUAGCUUAAAGUACGGAACGAAAUUUAUUUUUCUCUCCCUCCCCCUUCUUCCUAGCAUUUCCCCCUUUUCCUUUUUCUUUUCCUUUCUCCCAUUUUAGUGUCUUCUCCUUUCUCUUGAGUUAUACAUGAUAUUUCAAAAGCUAGCCUAUCUAGCAAGAUCCUUUUUCUCUGGUUAAAAGAGCAACAACAGUGUGCUUGUUUGUGUGUGUACAAGCACACACACUUGUGUCUUUUCCACACGUUUGUCUCAUUUACUCCCAAGGUGUAAACUUGGAGACAAGGAAAAGCCAGGAAGCCCUCUGUUAAUUAGUGUAUUGGUCUGUAUGAACAAACUCUUCACUAAAUGUCAAAAAUAAAGGUGUCAGGCUGCUCUCUAGGGAAAGGAUUUCCACGGAGUGCUAGGUCAUAACUGAGCUGAUGGCCUUUCAUCAGUAAGUUGUGCCCAAGGCUCUACUUCCUUCCAGUCCUUUACAAGCCGUUCAUGGAAACCAACUUAGGAGAGAACACGAUGAAACUAACCAGCCAACAAAAUUUGUUCUUGAACGACCUAGGGCUCAAUCAGGGGACACGUGGCCAAGCUGGCUGGGUGAGUCUCUCCAGUUUGGGGAGCCCACAGGGGGUGUGGGGUGGGGCUUCCAUGGAGCAGGCACAUGGGAGUCGUGGCUGCACCAGUGGGGCAACUAGGCAUGCUCAGAAGCCCUGCAGGUGGGGUCUCUCCAGGUAGCCAGGGUUUUAUAGCAGUGCGGAAGCCCAGAGGAGGAGUGGCCCCCGUUGGCCAUGACCACCACCUGCAGGCAGAGGAAGAGUUCUGAGGAGGGUAGCAGUCUCCAUCCUUUGGGGCAACAGCGUGUCUGCUUUGGAGAAAGGGUAUCCAAGGGGCAAGGACAGUAAUUCCGGAAAGAUGGGCCAGCAUUUGGCCAACACAAUCUGUUCUUCGGAGACCUGGGGUGCAAUCAGGGGACACGCUUGGCCAGGCUGGCCGGAAACCCAGCAGGUGGCUCUCUGGAGGCAUCGCGGGCAUUACCGCUGCCAGGGAAGAGGAGUGGCCAGUGGCAGCCAAGACCACCACCAGCAGGCAGAGGAAGAGUUCUGAGGAGGGAAGGGCUCUCCACCCCUUGGAAGGAGAAGGGAAGGAGAAGGGAAGGAGGAGGAGGAAAAGUGAAGGGGGUGGCACCAGUUCUUCUGGAGAAACUGGCGAUGAAUAGAAGUCAGAUACGCACUUCCUGAACGCCAGGGGGAGGCGACCCACGGAAAGUGGACUGGGAGACCCCCGCCCCCCACCCCACGCACUGGGGAGGCGUGGCUGUCAGGCUUGAGAGAGGACCCGGGGCAUAGUGGCCAGGGCCACAACCUUGGCCUGGGAAAGUUCUCAGAUGUGGUGUUAAAUCAGACUGUAUCCACCAGCCUGCACCGCAGACACAGCAACUUGGGAUCCCACCCAUGUCUGGGACCUAUACCCCCGCUUGUGGCAACACUGG